RNAcentral lists this transfer RNA (69 nucleotides) under Ictidomys tridecemlineatus (thirteen-lined ground squirrel). Its description in RNAcentral is "Spermophilus tridecemlineatus (thirteen-lined ground squirrel) tRNA". It matches the Rfam family "tRNA". Rfam says of the family: Transfer RNA (tRNA) molecules are approximately 80 nucleotides in length. Their secondary structure includes four short double-helical elements and three loops (D, anti-codon, and T loops). RNAcentral also lists the same sequence under 1 other name. The record is from Rfam by way of RNAcentral. Lineage: Eukaryota; Metazoa; Chordata; Mammalia; Rodentia; Sciuridae.
GGUGAUGUAGCUAAGUGGUAGAGCUCAAUCUUACCAUGUGUGAAGCCCUGGGUUCAAUCCCCAGCACUA